RNA transcript from Papaver somniferum (opium poppy), 1653 nucleotides. RefSeq lists it as uncharacterized. The record is from RefSeq and is a predicted model, not a curated record. The transcript has 2 exons. Lineage: Eukaryota; Viridiplantae; Streptophyta; Magnoliopsida; Ranunculales; Papaveraceae.
CGGCGGUUACCAUUUCUGCCCAAGAUGGAGACCGAAGAACAUUCAUGGGAAUUGCAUUUACAUAUAAGCAUCUCGAUCUUUUGAUCCACAUCAUCUCUACUGUGCUUCUGAAACAUUUUGUUAACAACACUUUCAAAUAAAUCACUUUGACCGAUGUUCGUACCUGUCUGCCGAUUUUGUCUCGUACAAGAAUUUGGUAAGGCAAGGUUUUUUGAUUGGCGAUGGUGGUGAUUCUGAAGGGUCCAGUAAAUCUCUUGUUCCUUCUCUUCCUUUCGAUAUUAUUGCAUAUGAUAUACUUACCAGAGUACCAAUCGAUUGUUUAAUGUCAUUUAGAGGUGUAUGCAAAUCAUGGUCUUCUUUAAUCCUCAAUGAUUCCGAUUUUAUUAAAUUACAUUCAACUCGAACUUAUGCGUCACCUGGAUUUCUCCGUCUGUCUGGAAAUUAUCCCGAUUAUGAUUCCGGUGAUAAGAAUUCCGACGAUGAUAAAUCCGAUAGUGAUAAUUCUGCUGAUGAAAAUCCCGAUGAUAAAAAUUACUACAAUGAUAAUCAUGAUAAUGAUAAAUCUGAUGAAGUUCCGAUGAUGACUAUGAUCGUAGUGAACCGGAACUUGAAGAGACCGAAGCAUUUCAAGAUCGGCAGCGCGGUGUUGAAAAAUCUAAGGGAAUUUCUUUUUAUGAUAUUGGUAAGGAUAAUUAUAAGAUAUUUUACUUUGGAGAGGGUUUAUUUAACAAGAAACUGAAGAUUCGAGGGUUUAGUGAUUUUGUCCUGUGAAGAACGAGACCGUGAGUUUACUCAUCAUGUUUAUAAUCCAAACACACGUAAUUCAAUUCAACUUCCCACUCUUAAUGAGUUCGAUAAGAAAAGUGCUGAUGGUCUUCCAUAUUUUUAUUUGGUUUUUGAUCCCGUCAUGGAUAAGUUUAAAGUUAUUUGCAUUGCUUGGAAUUAUAUCGAAAUACAGAAUACCCAUGUUUAUACUACACAGUAUUUCUUCAAGAUUGUUACUCUUGGUACCGGAAUUGGAAGUGAUUCAUGGAGAGAUAUUGAUAUUCCGAAGAUGGAUUUUUAUUUAGGAGGUGAUGGAUAUAAACCAGUGUCUGUGGAUGGGUCUUUGAAUUUGUUGUGUCUUGAUGACAAGAAAGUACUUUACGUUGAUGUUAGCAGAGAAUCAUCUUAUACAGUAGAAUACCCUGAGGGAGCUUCCAACACUUCUCAGCUACUAGAGAUUGGGGGGUCGCUCUGUAUCCUUGAUUACACGGAAGAAUCACACAAUGAUAUUGAGUCUGAUGGGAAGCUCACGUAUGGUUUUUGAUAAUGAAUAGAGAAUAUGAGGACGACGUCUAGACUGAGGAACGGUACUACAGUUAUGACGUUGAGUUGAAAAGGUUGGAAUCAAUCGGCAACCCAGACCCAUCAAAUUAUCGUCAAUGGCAUAUGAACCGUCUUACCCACAUUUAAUCAACCAUUGCGGCUGGUAUGUAUUGCUCAGGAAUUUUAUUAUUAGAUUUCUAGUUUAGCAAGUUGCUACAUGUAGACCAAUGCUAGUUUUACUUUGUAGUUCUUUUUUCUGUAUAAGAUUGACAUUUUUUUCCAUUAUUGAUUAACAGUAGUUUUGCAAAGUAUUUCCCGUACUUCACUGUUUUUUCUAGUUUACCA